This 254-nucleotide ribosomal RNA is filed under the name uncultured bacterium. RNAcentral's name for it is "partial 16S ribosomal RNA". It matches the Rfam family "Bacterial small subunit ribosomal RNA", at positions 524 to 776 of the family's 1533-position model. The record is from RNAcentral.
UACGUAGGGGGCGAGCGUUGUCCGGAUUUAUUGGGCGUAAAGAGCUCGUAGGCGGUUCGAUAAGUCGGACGUGAAAUCUCCACGCUCAACGUGGAGGGGCCGUUCGAUACUGUCGUGACUCGAGUCCGGUAGGGGAGUGUGGAAUUCCCGGUGUAGCGGUGAAAUGCGCAGAUAUCAGGAGGAACACCGAUGGCGAAGGCAGGUCUCUGGGCCAUAACUGACGCUGAGAAGCGAAAGCAUGGGGAGCGAACAGG